CCUACGGGAGGCAGCAGUGGGGAAUCUUGCGCAAUGGGCGAAAGCCUGACGCAGCAACGCCGCGUGCGGGAAGAAGGCUUUCGGGCUGUAAACCGCUUUCAGCAGGAACGAAAAUGACGGUACCUGCAGAAGAAGGAGCGGCCAACUAUGUGCCAGCAGCCGCGGUGAUACAUAGGCUUCAAGCGUUGUCCGGAUUUAUUGGGCGUAAAGAGUUCGUAGGCGGUCGAGUAAGUCGGGUGUGAAAAUUCUGGGCUCAACCCAGAGACGCCACCCGAUACUGCUUAACUUGAGUUCGAUAGGGGAGUGGGGAAUUCCUAGUGUAGCGGUGAAAUGCGCAGAUAUUAGGAGGAACACCGGUGGCGAAGGCGCCACUCUGGAUCGAUACUGACGCUGAGGAACGAAAGCAUGGGUAGCAAACAGGAUUAGAUACCCUGGUAGUCCAUGCCGUAAACGGUGGGCACUAGGUGUGGGAUUCUAUUAACGAAUUCCGCGUCGUCGCUAACGCAUUAAGUGCCCCGCCUGGGGGAGGUACGGUCGCGAGACGUAAACGUACGAAAGGAAGUUAAGUACGGCGUUGAGACGUUGCCGAACGGCGACGACGAGGGAGGAGG
This 611-nucleotide ribosomal RNA is filed under the name uncultured bacterium. RNAcentral's name for it is "bacterial SSU rRNA". The stretch from base 1 to 520 matches the Rfam family "Bacterial small subunit ribosomal RNA", at positions 338 to 873 of the family's 1533-position model. The record is from RNAcentral.